AACGCGAAGAACCUUACCUACUCUUGACAUCCUGCGAACCCGACUGAGAGGUUGGGGUGCCGAAAGGAGCGCAGAGACAGGUGCUGCAUGGCUGUCGUCAGCUCGUGUUGUGAGAUGUUGGGUUAAGUCCCGUAACGAGCGCAACCCUUGUCCUUAGUUACCAGCAAGUAAAGUUGGGGACUCUAAGGAGACUGCCGGUGAGGAACCGGAGGAAGGCGGGGACGACGUCAAGUCAUCAUGGCCUUUAUGAGUAGGGCUACACACGUGCUACAAUGGGGCGUACAGAGGGUAGCCAACCUGCGAAGGGGAGCCAAUCUCUUAAAGCGUCUCGUAGUCCGGAUUGAAGUCUGCAACUCGACUUCAUGAAGUCGGAAUCGCUAGUAAUCGCGAAUCAGCAAUGUCGCGGUGAAUACGUUCCCGGGCCUUGUACACACCGCGAGC
Molecule: ribosomal RNA, 441 nt
Filed under: uncultured bacterium
Lineage: Bacteria
Description: bacterial SSU rRNA
Rfam family: Bacterial small subunit ribosomal RNA
Source: RNAcentral